GUCUUACCACCGGGAUGUUCAUAACCCUUUGUUGUCCGACUCUGUUGCCUCCGGGGCGACCCUGCCUUCGGGCGGGGGCCCCGGGUGGACACUUCAAACUCUUGCGUAACUUUGCAGUCUGAGUAAACUUAAUUAAUAAAUUAAAACUUUUAACAACGGAUCUCUUGGUUCUGGCAUCGAUGAAGAACGCAGCGAAAUGCGAUAAGUAAUGUGAAUUGCAGAAUUCAGUGAAUCAUCGAAUCUUUGAACGCACAUUGCGCCCCCUGGUAUUCCGGGGGGCAUGCCUGUUCGAGCGUCAUUUCACCACUCAAGCCUCGCUUGGUAUUGGGCAACGCGGUCCGCCGCGUGCCUCAAAUCGACCGGCUGGGUCUUCUGUCCCCUAAGCGUUGUGGAAACUAUUCGCUAAAGGGUGUUCGGGAGGCUACGCCGUAAAACAACCCCAUUUCUAAGGUUGACCUCGGAUCAGGUAGGGAUA
RNAcentral lists this unclassified non-coding RNA (475 nucleotides) under Cladosporium lentulum. Its description in RNAcentral is "sequence contains 18S rRNA gene, ITS1, 5.8S rRNA gene, ITS2". The stretch from base 145 to 298 matches the Rfam family "5.8S ribosomal RNA". Lineage: Eukaryota; Fungi; Ascomycota; Dothideomycetes; Cladosporiales; Cladosporiaceae. The record is from RNAcentral.